Wasmannia auropunctata (little fire ant) is the source of this 1372-nucleotide long non-coding RNA. RefSeq lists it as uncharacterized. The record is from RefSeq and is a predicted model, not a curated record. The transcript is spliced from 2 exons. NCBI's taxonomy places the organism in Eukaryota, Metazoa, Arthropoda, Insecta, Hymenoptera, Formicidae.
AAUAAAACAUAACUUUCUAAAAGUUUUAUAUUGUGUCAAAAAAUAUAUAAAAACUUUUAAUUAAUAAUUGACACGCUUAAGAUAAGAAGCACUUAAGAAAAAUUGUCUAAGUAAUUCCCAAGAAGAACUUUCAUUUAAAGUUUUAUUGUUUAUUUGCAUACUUAAAGAGAAUGGCCUACAAGGAGCUGAGGAAGGCAGAUGCGGGACCUAAAGGAUCGGCUUUGUAUAUGUUACCGGUUAUAGAAAUAUAAAAAUCCUCCCCGCCCGCCACGAAAGGCUCGAAGGCAAAGAGAUCGGUUUCGGCCCAUGCAAUAUGUAUUGACGCGCGAUGUUCUAUUGGCGUUUUAUUGUUAUGCCCCCUACCCUUUCAUGUCCCGAACCAUCCCCGGUCUUCUCGGCGAAAGAAUCCCGCAUGGAGCGUUUCGCCGUUGUCCUUGAAGCGCAUGGUUUUAUUUUUAUGCGCCGCGAUGCAAGGCGGAAGCAAGCGGGACAAGAAGGAAGAUUUCCGAAUAGUCGGGACGGGGAGACAAAGUUGACCUCGUAAUUUUCGUCGGGGUUUCGCUGGGGACACUUUAGAUCGUUCUCCUAUCCCGUCGUCUGGCUUCCUAUCUUCACCCGUUUCUUUACUUCUUUCUCCGCCCGUCAUUACCAGGAGUACCCGAGAGAGAUCAUCCCCAGCGGGGAAUACCCAGCGCGAUUUACCGAAAACGGACUUACUUUAUGGAAACCGACGACGCGUAUUACGGAACGUCCGUUUCCGAUGAGACGAUGAGAUGGGACGACGAUACGCGACAACACGAUGAUUUUCCGUGGUAGGAUACACGUAAUUUCCUUAACUGUCCUCCCCCAGGAGCGGACGGUGUACUCCGCGGAAGGUACUCGCUCGGGAAUCGUGUGUAAGCAAAACGUGAUUGCGUAGUAGCGUUUAAACGGAGACAGAAAUACAGCCUGCGAAGGUACGACGAGAGAGCUAUAAUGGCGGAAAUAUCAUCGUAGUAGUCAAGCUUGCACUUUCCGCCUAAGAAUCUGAACUUGCGAAAAUCAUCAAAACUCUCGAAACUUGGUUCUCGUCUAAAUGAACAUUGCAAUAAUCGCCGUACCGCCGGGACGUGUCUUCGGGGAAUCGGAUAGCCGGAUGAUAUUCAACAACAUCGUAAUCAUGUGCUACGGAUUAAGAUUGCACUUUUAGAUGAUUAAAAUCUAUCUCACGUGUUGCUCACGUCACGAAAUCCUCAUUUUCAUAAUUUACGUAUCAUUCAACAAACAUGUUCGAUAUUACAAAAUACGAAGAAUUCAAACAAUAAUCAAACUUUAAUUCAAAAUAAUUAUUGUAAUUAUUAUAAAAGAUUAACAGUCCAAUUAACCCAAAUGA